Long non-coding RNA from Alligator sinensis (Chinese alligator), 438 nucleotides. RefSeq lists it as uncharacterized. The record is from RefSeq and is a predicted model, not a curated record. The transcript has 3 exons. NCBI's taxonomy places the organism in Eukaryota, Metazoa, Chordata, Crocodylia, Alligatoridae.
CAGUCGCAUCAAAAUCUGGCUCUUCUGCUGUUGUGAACACAACUACACUCAUGUAAUUGGUGGCAGUGACUGUCAGGUUGUAGAGAUGUGUGGUUGUAAACAUGGAGAAAGUGGGGAAUCACAGACGUGAGCUGUUGAAAGAUCGGAACAAGAGCUCAGGGUUCCUGUGAUCUGGCCUACACUCACCCUCCCAGGUUGACUUAGAACUGAAUCUGAACUGAUUGAGUGCACCUGAACCUGAACCAAACCCAAAUAAAUACUGGUUCAAUUCUUUUAAGCAACGAUGAGGAUUGAACUCAGCUUAUAGGACAUAACUGUAAUCCAUAAGCUUGUUGUUGAAUUUACUAUCCUUUAGCCCCUGCACUUGGAUUAUGAAAAUUUACAUGAUUAAUUUAUACAGCUUAAAUUCAUUGUACAGAAUGAGCGAGAUCAAGCUCC